UUCCAGGGAGAGGAUUACUUUCUCCCACUUAGAACUGCGUGUCUGAACCGGUUACCAAGCCCGGGGCUGGCUGCCUUCCUCCCCAGUUAUCAGACUUAGACUCUGCCAAUCAAAAUACAUCUGUGCCGGAUUUGAAGCUCUGAAAGGGAAGAUCUGUGCCCACGCCGGCAAAAUUCACCUCCUGGAGCAGAAGUGGCUCAAUGAGCACAGAGAAGUUGGAAAAUAGGGACACAGAGAAGUUAUGAGACAGUAAAACACAAAGAAGCAAGAUCAUUGUGGGCUUCCAGGUUGGUUGCAGA
Herpailurus yagouaroundi (jaguarundi) is the source of this 299-nucleotide long non-coding RNA. RefSeq lists it as uncharacterized. The transcript is spliced from 3 exons. Lineage: Eukaryota; Metazoa; Chordata; Mammalia; Carnivora; Felidae. The record is from RefSeq and is a predicted model, not a curated record.